Molecule: ribosomal RNA, 762 nt
Filed under: uncultured bacterium
Lineage: Bacteria
Description: bacterial SSU rRNA
Rfam family: Bacterial small subunit ribosomal RNA
Source: RNAcentral
AGAGUUUGAUCCUGGCUCAGAACGAACGCUGGCGGCAUGCCUAACACAUGCAAGUCGAACGCUGUGCCGGUUUUGGCCGGCAGAGAGUGGCGCACGGGUGAGUAGCGCGUGGGAACCUGCCCUGUUGUGGGGGAUAACCGCGGGAAACUGCGGCUAAUACCGCAUACGCCCGAUGAGCAAUCAUCGGGGAAAGAUUGAUCGCCGCAGGAGGGGCCCGCGUCGGAUUAGGUUGUUGGUGGGGUAACGGCCUACCAAGCCUGCGAUCCGUAGCUGGUCUGAGAGGAUGAUCAGCCACACUGGGACUGAGACACGGCCCAGACUCCUACGGGAGGCAGCAGUGGGGAAUAUUGGACAAUGGGCGCAAGCCUGAUCCAGCAAUGCCGCGUGAGUGAUGAAGGCCUUCGGGUUGUAAAGCUCUUUCGCACGCGAGGAUGAUGACGCUAGCGUGAGAAGAAGCCCCGGCUAACUUCGUGCCAGCAGCCGCGGUAAUACGAAGGGGGCGAGCGUUGUUCGGAUUUACUGGGCGUAAAGGGCGCGUAGGCGGCGCGAGAAGUCGAGUGUGAAAGCCCCGGGCUCAACCUGGGAAUGGCGCUCGAGACUCUUGUGCUUGAGUUCGGGAGAGGAGCGUGGAAUUCCCAGUGUAGAGGUGAAAUUCGUAGAUAUUGGGAAGAACACCGGUGGCGAAGGCGGCGCUCUGGACCGAGACUGACGCUGAGGCGGGAAAGCGUGGGGAGCAAACAGGAUUAGAUACCCCCGUAGUCC